This 433-nucleotide ribosomal RNA is filed under the name uncultured bacterium. Its description in RNAcentral is "partial 16S ribosomal RNA". It matches the Rfam family "Bacterial small subunit ribosomal RNA", at positions 29 to 507 of the family's 1533-position model. The record is from RNAcentral.
AGCGAACGCUGGCGGCAGGCCUAACACAUGCAAGUCGAACGAACUCUUCGGAGUUAGUGGCGGACGGGUGAGUAACACGUGGGAACGUGCCUUUUGGUUCGGAAUAACUCAGGGAAACUUGUGCUAAUACCGAAUGUGCCCUUCGGGGGAAAGAUUUAUCGCCAUUAGAGCGGCCCGCGUCUGAUUAGCUAGUUGGUGAGGUAACGGCUCACCAAGGCGACGAUCAGUAGCUGGUCUGAGAGGAUGACCAGCCACACUGGGACUGAGACACGGCCCAGACUCCUACGGGAGGCAGCAGUGGGGAAUCUUGCGCAAUGGGCGAAAGCCCGACGCAGCCAUGCCGCGUGAAUGAUGAAGGUCUUAGGAUUGUAAAAUUCUUUCACCGGGGACGAUAAUGACGGUACUCGGAGAAGAAGCCCCGGCUAACUUCGUG